Long non-coding RNA from Vollenhovia emeryi, 315 nucleotides. RefSeq lists it as uncharacterized. Lineage: Eukaryota; Metazoa; Arthropoda; Insecta; Hymenoptera; Formicidae. The record is from RefSeq and is a predicted model, not a curated record. The transcript is spliced from 3 exons.
UUCUGUGACUAAUUUUGUGACAAAACUGUAAGAGAAAAUCCCAUGAAAUAUAUACAAUAUAAAUUGUGAACAUCGCAUCUUCAAUACAUUUAUACCGUGCUACGCGUUGACCUGCUGCGACGGCAUUCCUCACUGCUAAGGUUUUCUCCUUGACACCAUCACUGUUGGGCAUAUUAGUGCAGGCUCCUUGGGACCAGUCCACACUAAAUACUAUGUAGCCUUUCUGUAAAAGGGCGUCAUAUAUUCAGUCCUGUUACUCGUGCGAAUAUGUGGUAUCUACCUGUGUCAAUGCAGUGGCCACGACUGGAAAAUUAU